AGAGUUUGAUCCUGGCUCAGGAUGAACGCUAGCGACAGGCUUAACACAUGCAAGUCGAGGGGCAGCGGGGGCGUAGCAAUAUGCCUGCCGGCGACCGGCGCACGGGUGAGUAACACGUAUGUAACCUGCCCUAUGCAGGGGGAUAACCCGGAGAAAUCCGGCCUAAUACCGCGUAACACCUUAGGGGAGCAUUCUCUUGAGGUUAAAGGAGAGAUCCGGCAUAGGAUGGACAUGCGUCGCAUUAGGUAGACGGCGGGGUAACGGCCCACCGUGCCGACGAUGCGUAGGGGUUCUGAGAGGAAGGCCCCCCACACUGGUACUGAGACACGGACCAGACUCCUACGGGAGGCAGCAGUGAGGAAUAUUGGUCAAUGGCCGAGAGGCUGAACCAGCCAAGUCGCGUGAGGGAAGAAUGUCCUAAGGAUUGUAAACCUCUUUUGUCGGGGAGCAAAAAGGCUCUGCGGAGUCGUAUUGAGAGUACCCGAAGAAAAAGCAUCGGCUAACUCCGUGCCAGCAGCCGCGGUAAUACGGAGGAUGCGAGCGUUAUCCGGAUUUAUUGGGUUUAAAGGGUGCGCAGGCGGCGUGUCAAGCAAGCGGUAAAAUAGCGGGGCUCAACCCCGUCGAGCCGUUUGAACUGGCGCGCUUGAGUUCAGGCGAGGUAGGCGGAAUUCGUGGUGUAGCGGUGAAAUGCAUAGAUAUCACGAAGAACUCCGAUUGCGAAGGCAGCUUACCAGUCUGCGACUGACGCUCAGGCACGAAAGUGUGGGUAUCGAACAGGAUUAGAUACCCUGGUAGUCCACACAGUAAACGAUGAGCGCUAGGUGUCCGGGUCGCAUGAGACUUGGGUGCCCGAGCGAAAGCGUUAAGCGCUCCACCUGGGGAGUACGCCGGCAACGGUGAAACUCAAAGGAAUUGACGGGGGCCCGCACAAGCGGAGGAACAUGUGGUUUAAUUCGAUGAUACGCGAGGAACCUUACCCGGGCUCAAACGACUCAGGAAUAUAUUGGAAACGAUGUAGCCAGCAAUGGUCUGAGUCGAGGUGCUGCAUGGUUGUCGUCAGCUCGUGCCGUGAGGUGUCGGCUUAAGUGCCAUAACGAGCGCAACCCCUACCGCCAGUUGCCAACGGGUAAAGCCGGGAACUCUGGCGGGACUGCCGGCGCAAGCUGUGAGGAAGGCGGGGAUGACGUCAAAUCAGCACGGCCCUUACGUCCGGGGCGACACACGUGUUACAAUGGCAGGUACAGCGGGAAGCCACCUGGUGACAGGGAGCGGAACCCGAAAGCCUGUCUCAGUUCGGAUUGGAGUCUGCAACUCGACUCCAUGAAGCUGGAUUCGCUAGUAAUCGCGCAUCAGCCAUGGCGCGGUGAAUACGUUCCCGGGCCUUGCACACACCGCCCGUCAAG
RNAcentral lists this ribosomal RNA (1403 nucleotides) under uncultured bacterium. RNAcentral describes it as "bacterial SSU rRNA". It matches the Rfam family "Bacterial small subunit ribosomal RNA". The record is from RNAcentral.